This 429-nucleotide ribosomal RNA is filed under the name Verrucomicrobiota bacterium. Its description in RNAcentral is "Verrucomicrobia bacterium partial 16S ribosomal RNA". It matches the Rfam family "Bacterial small subunit ribosomal RNA", at positions 355 to 776 of the family's 1533-position model. Lineage: Bacteria; Pseudomonadati; Verrucomicrobiota. The record is from RNAcentral.
UAGGGAAUCUUCGGCAAUGGGGGGAACCCUGACCGAGCAACGCCGCGUGAGUGAAGAAGGUUUUCGGAUCGUAAAGCUCUGUUGUUAAGGAAGAACGAGUGUGAGAAUGGAAAGUUCAUGCUGUGACGGUACUUAACCAGAAAGGGACGGCUAACUACGUGCCAGCAGCCGCGGUAAUACGUAGGUCCCGAGCGUUAUCCGGAUUUAUUGGGCGUAAAGCGAGCGCAGGCGGUUAGAAAAGUCUGAAGUGAAAGGCAGUGGCUCAACCAUUGUAGGCUUUGGAAACUGUUUAACUUGAGUGCAGAAGGGGAGAGUGGAAUUCCAUGUGUAGCGGUGAAAUGCGUAGAUAUAUGGAGGAACACCGGUGGCGAAAGCGGCUCUCUGGUCUGUAACUGACGCUGAGGCUCGAAAGCGUGGGGAGCGAACAGG